Molecule: small RNA, 83 nt
Filed under: Sinorhizobium meliloti 2011
Lineage: Bacteria; Pseudomonadati; Pseudomonadota; Alphaproteobacteria; Hyphomicrobiales; Rhizobiaceae
Description: putative ncRNA
Source: RNAcentral
ACGACGUGGAACGCCGAGGCAUCGGGCCGCGGGCGGGUCCCACCUGCCCCUUCUCCCCGCCUGCGGGGAGAAGGUCGCGGCAG